UACGGUAGUGAAGUCAUUGAUGCCAUGCUUCCAGGAAAAGCCUCUAAGCUUCAGAUUGUAAGGAAUCGUACCCCAAACCGACACAGGUGGUCGGGUAGAGAAUACCAAGGCGCUUGAGAGAACUCGGGUGAAGGAACUAGGCAAAAUGGUACCGUAACUUCGGGAGAAGGUACGCUCUUGAUGGUGAAGUCCCUUGCGGAUGGAGCUGACGAGAGUCGCAGAUACCAGGUGGCUGCAACUGUUUAUUAAAAACACAGCACUGUGCAAAAUCGUAAGAUGACGUAUACGGUGUGACGCCUGCCCGGUGCCGGAAGGUUAAUUGAUGGGGUUAGCGUAAGCGAAGCUCUUGAUCGAAGCCCCGGUAAACGGCGGCCGUAACUAUAACGGUCCUAAGGUAGCGAAAUUCCUUGUCGGGUAAGUUCCGACCUGCACGAAUGGCGUAAUGAUGGCCACGCUGUCUCCACCCGAGACUCAGUGAAAUUGAAAUCGCUGUGAAGAUGCAGUGUACCCGCGGCUAGACGGAAAGACCCCGUGAACCUUUACUACAGCUUGGCACUGAACAUUGAACCUACAUGUGUAGGAUAGGUGGGAGGCUUUGAAGACGUGACGCCAGUUGCGUUGGAGCCGUCCUUGAAAUACCACCCUUGUAUGUUUGAUGUUCUAACGUUGGCCCCUAAUCGGGGUUGCGGACAGUGCCUGGUGGGUAGUUUGACUGGGGCGGUCUCCUCCCAAAGAGUAACGGAGGAGCACGAAGGUGGGCUAAUCACGGUUGGACAUCGUGAGGUUAGUGCAAUGGCAUAAGCCCGCUUAACUGCGAGAAUGACGGUUCGAGCAGGUGCGAAAGCAGGUCAUAGUGAUCCGGUGGUUCUGAAUGGAAGGGCCAUCGCUCAACGGAUAAAAGGUACUCCGGGGAUAACAGGCUGAUACCGCCCAAGAGUUCAUAUCGACGGCGGUGUUUGGCACCUCGAUGUCGGCUCAUCACAUCCUGGGGCUGAAGUCGGUCCCAAGGGUAUGGCUGUUCGCCAUUUAAAGUGGUACGCGAGCUGGGUUUAGAACGUCGUGAGACAGUUCGGUCCCUAUCUGCCGUGGGCGUUGGAAGAUUGAAGGGGGCUGCUCCUAGUACGAGAGGACCGGAGUGGACGAACCUCUGGUGUUCGGGUUGUGUCGCCAGACGCAUUGCCCGGUAGCUAAGUUCGGAAUCGAUAACCGCUGAAAGCAUCUAAGCGGGAAGCGAGCCCUGAGAUGAGUCUU
Molecule: ribosomal RNA, 1251 nt
Filed under: Vibrio vulnificus
Lineage: Bacteria; Pseudomonadati; Pseudomonadota; Gammaproteobacteria; Vibrionales; Vibrionaceae
Description: partial 23S ribosomal RNA
Rfam family: Bacterial large subunit ribosomal RNA
Source: RNAcentral